This 330-nucleotide ribosomal RNA is filed under the name uncultured bacterium. RNAcentral's name for it is "bacterial SSU rRNA". It matches the Rfam family "Bacterial small subunit ribosomal RNA", at positions 568 to 898 of the family's 1533-position model. The record is from RNAcentral.
CGCGUAGGCGGGCGGUCAAGUCUGUGGUGAAAUCCUUCGGCUCAACCGGAGAAUAGCUGGAGAUACUGGCCGUCUCGAGGGGGGUAGGGGCAUGUGGAACUUCCGGUGGAGCGGUGAAAUGCGUAGAUAUCGGAAGGAACGCCGGUGGCGAAAGCGACGUGCUGGACCCUUUCUGACGCUGAGGCGCGAAAGCCAGGGGAGCAAACGGGAUUAGAUACCCCGGUAGUCCUGGCCCUAAACGAUGGGUACUAGAUUGUGGGCUAACAUGGGCUCACAGUCGAAGCUAAAGUGUUAAGUACCCCGCCUGGGGAGUAUGGUCGCAAGGCUGAA